RNAcentral lists this long non-coding RNA (1614 nucleotides) under Homo sapiens (human). Its description in RNAcentral is "HSALNT0327432". The record is from RNAcentral. Lineage: Eukaryota; Metazoa; Chordata; Mammalia; Primates; Hominidae.
UAUUUUGUUACAGCAGCCCUAGCAAACAAUACAGAUAAUGAUAGCAACUUCAUUGCAUCAGAUAUCAACAAGCAGGAAAAGGUAUACCUCAAGACUUAUGUUGCCUUGUUUUAACACACUGAUUAUUAGGAAUUUCACAUUUGGGGCUUUGGAGCCACUGGUCCAUGCCAGGCCUGUUGUUUCCUUCAGAACUCGCAAUGACUUUUGCUAAAGUUAUCUGCACCCCAGCAUCCUCUGGUGAAUUCCUGUACUUGCCAUCAUCCCUGAUACACUAGGGGUUUUGAAGCCUGUGGACUUUUCUUUUCUCCCUCAUUCAACAGCCUGAUCAUGAAGCAGGAAAGAAAGGAAAAUGUGUGCCACGCCUGACUGGUUUUUGUGUUUUUUUGGUGGAGACGGGGUUUCGCUGUGUUGGCCGGGCUGGUCUCCAGCUCCUAACUGCGAGUGGUCCGCCGGCCUCGGCCUCCAGUGGUGCCGGGAUUGCGGACGGAGUCUGGUUCACUUGGUGCUCGGUGGUGCCCAGGCUGGAGUGCAGUGGCGUGGUCUCGGCUCACUGCGGCCUCCACCUCCCAGCCGCCUGCCUUGGCCUCCCGGGGUGCCGAGAUUGCAGCCUCUGCCUGGCCGCCACCCCAUCUGGGAAGUGGGGAGCGUCUCUGCCUGGCCGCCCAUCGUCUGGGACGUGGGGAGCCCCUCUGCCUGGCUGCCCAGUCUGGAGGGUGAGGAGCGUCUCUGCCAGGCCGCCAUCCCAUCUAGGAAGUGAGGAGCGCCUCUUCCCAGCCGCCAUCCCCUCUGGGAGGUGAGGAGCGUCUCUGCCCGGCCGCCCCGUCUGAGAGGUGGGGAGACCCUCCGCCUGGCAGCCGCCCCAUAUGAGAAGUGAGGAGCCCCUCCGCCCGGCAGCCACCCCGUCUGGGAAGUGAGGAGCGUCUCUGCCCGGCAGCCACCCCAUCCGGGAGGGAGGUGGGGGUCAGCCCCCGCCAGGCCAGCCGCCCCGUCCGGGAGGGAGGUGGGGGGGUCAGCCCCCCGCCCGGCUAGCCGCCCCCUCCGGGAGGUGAGGGGCGCCUCUGCCCGGCCGCCCCUACUGGGAAGUGAGGAGCCCCUCUGCCCAGCCACCACCCUGUCUGGGAGGUGUACCCAACAGCUCAUUGAGAACGGGCCAUGAUGACAAUGGCAGUUUUGUGGAAUAGAAAGGGGGGAAAGGCCGAGAAAGGAUUGAGAAAUCGGAUGGUUGCCAUGUCUGUGUAGAAAGAGGUAGACACGGGAGACUUUUCAUUUUGUUCUGUACUAAGAAAAAUUCUUCUGCCUUGUGAUCCUGUUGAUCUGUGACCCUACCCCCAACCCUGUGCUCUCUGAAACAUGUGCUGUGUCCACUCAGGGUUAAAUGGAUUAAGGGUGGUGCAAGAUGUGCUUUGUUAAACAGAUGCUUGAAGGCAGCAUGCUCGUUAAGAGUCAUCACCACUCCCUAAUCUCAAGCACCCAGGGACACAAACACUGCGGAGGGCCGCAGGGUCCUCUGCCUAGGAAAACCAGAGACCUUUGUUCACUUGUUUAUCUGCUGACCUUCCCUCCACUAUUGUCCUAUGACCCUGCCAAAUCCCCCUCUGUGAGAAACACCCAAGA